RNAcentral lists this long non-coding RNA (1461 nucleotides) under Amborella trichopoda. RNAcentral's name for it is "long non-coding RNA (ATRI_LNC003666)". Lineage: Eukaryota; Viridiplantae; Streptophyta; Magnoliopsida; Amborellales; Amborellaceae. The record is from RNAcentral.
CCCUUUCUCUCUCUUCUCUUUCUCUCUCCUAUUUCACAAACGAUGGAAGCCUAUCGUCGUCUGUGCUUCACUCUUUUUCUCUCCUUCCCUAUCUGUGGUCCCUCGUGACCACCAACUUUUUAUUUUCUUUCUCUUAUUCCCUGCAUGAUGUGAACCAUUGGGUACAUCUCCUCUUCUUUCCUCUGGUAGUGCCUCAUGACCACCUCCUUCACUCUUCUUUUUCUGUGCACCUUGCAUAACCUCUUCUUGGUGCAUCCUCAUGACCACUUCCUCCCUCUCACAUCAAGUGGUCCUGCUAGACCACCUUUGUCCAUUUUCUUAGUUAAGACGUUUGUGGGUCUUUCCCCUAUGGCCGCACAAACCUACCUUUCCCUAUUGCUGCGCGAACCCAUCUUUUCCCUAUUGCCAUGCGAACCCCUCUUUCCCUACCUAUUGCCGUGCAAACCCCUUUUUCCCCUAUCGCCGAGCGAACCCAUCUUUCCCCUCCGUCGCGCACAACCCAUCUUCCCCAACGCCAUGUGCGAUCUAUCCUCCCCCACCACCGUGCGCAACUAAGGCCUAUCGCUGGCAGCCACCAUCUCACGGCCUCGCCUUCGCUGCCAUCACCCUGCUUCCUGCUCUCUGCUCUCCCUGUUCAACCACCACCGACAAUUUUCCCACAUUUCUCUCACCCACUUUCUUUAUCUCGACCCUCUCUUUUCACCUUGCACUCUGUCUCUCAGUAGCAAUUCUCUUUCAAGAGUAGGCAACAGGAUCUCCUCCCACCUCACCUCACCUCACCUCAUUUACAGUCAUGUAGCAACCAGUGCCGUCUCCAUCCUUCUUCUCUUGCCAUCAACCAUUAGCAACCAACACCUCUCCCACCUCCAUCUCCACCAAUUCCUUCACAACCUCCGCUUAUGAAUCCCUGCUACUACCACUCACCAGCCACCUCACCCUCUUCUUCCCGUCACCUUGCCCCUCACCAUAUCUCCCCAUCUCCACCUCUCUUUGCUGCCCCCAACCAUCUCGUCUCAGCCCUUUCACCUUGCUGCUCCACCAUCUUCUCCAUCUAGCUUCUCCUUCCGACCAGCAAUCUCCCACCUACAACCAAUUGCUCCCUCGUUUUCUUUUCUAUUGCCAUCAGCCAAUCACCACCUCUACUAAUUUCUGUCCUCCCUGCUCCUCAGCUGCCUCCUCUCUAUUCACCUAUAAAUCAGGCACCACCCUGUUGCAGUUCACUGCCGUCCCAUUUCCGUCAUCCAUGUUGUCCCAAUUUCAUUAUCAACUGUAGCCCCACCUUUCCUCGCUACCAUCGCGACCUCGUGCUCUCCUCUCAUUCUAAUUUCCAGUAACCUUGUGUGUCCCAUUCUCUUCCCUGCAACUUCUCUCUCCCUUAAAAAAAAACCCACAAAGCAAAAACACCUACUAACCGGUUUCGUUUCAUCUCACCCACUCUCACGAUAUUUCGUUCCCCCUUUC